RNAcentral lists this long non-coding RNA (678 nucleotides) under Rattus norvegicus (Norway rat). Its description in RNAcentral is "long non-coding RNA NONRATT003351". Lineage: Eukaryota; Metazoa; Chordata; Mammalia; Rodentia; Muridae. The record is from RNAcentral.
AAGAUCACGUUUUAUAAGGCCUGAGUGAUAUCCCACUCUCCUAGGUUUUAUGCUAUUUUGUCUUGGAAUUUCAUGUCAGUACCCAUGUAGUACAAGGAAAGAGGCAGUGCUUGUCGGCGCCUGUGUAGGGACUAAGGCAUCAGAGCAUGGCUUGCUUGGCCUUCCAUCGCAUCCUGAAUCUUCUCAAGGUGAGAAGUCACCCCUGGAAGGAGCUCAAAGGCAGAGGCCACAGCAGAGACAGACAAGCUUCUGCGUGGGGACCAGGCUCUUUCUGGGUAUCAUUGCUGCUCUUGCCAACUCCAGGGUAGGUAGGUAUGGGUCUAGGGAUGGCCUGCGCUGUUCUCUUCUCUGCACAUGUUGGUUGGCUGAAGUUGUAACCUGCUGCACAUUUGUGGUCUGACAUGGCCAGUGGCUUUCAUCUCACCUGUGAGUAACGCCUGCCCAAUUGACAGAAGUGUGGUGCGAUGGGCUCUGCCCUCGCCCUCCCAGGCCACUCUUUACAGACACUGGCAUCAUCCGACACACUGUCUAGAGGUUGGUGGGAAUAGUUCUCAGAACCCUGUCUGUGGUUAUUUUGGGGAUGGGGGUCCAUGUCCAGAUUUUUCUUUGAUUAUAUGAUAUAUUUUUACUUUCAGCCUUCUAAUUUAAUAAGUGGUCUAUAUAAAAUAGAAAAAUAAA